Molecule: ribosomal RNA, 199 nt
Filed under: uncultured bacterium
Lineage: Bacteria
Description: partial 16S ribosomal RNA
Rfam family: Bacterial small subunit ribosomal RNA
Source: RNAcentral
ACGCUCGACACCUACGGGAGCAGCAGUGGGGAAUAUUGGGCAAUGGAGGCAACUCUGACCCAGCAACGCCGCGUGAAUGAUGAAGGUCUUCGGAUUGUAAAGUUCUGUGACGGGGGACGAACACAAUGACGGUACCCCGAUAGCAAGCCACGGCUAACUACGUGCCGCAGCCGCGGUAAUCUGAGCGGGCUGGCAAGGC